GAUGAACGCUGGCGGCGUGCCUAAUACAUGCAAGUCGAGCGGUAAGGCCCUUCGGGGUACACGAGCGGCGGACGGCUGAGUAACACGUAGGAACGUACCCCAAACUGAGGGAUAAGCACCAGAAAUGGUGUCUAAUACCGCAUGUGGCCCACGGGCUAAAGCUCCGGCGGUUUGGGAACGGCCUGCGUCCGAUUAGCUAGUUGGUGAGGUAAUUGCUCACCAAGGCGACGAUCGGUAGCUGGUCUGAGAGGAUGAUCAGCCAGACUGGGACUGAGACACGGCCCAGACUCCUACGGGAGGCAGCAGUAGGGAAUUUUCCACAAUGGGGGCAACCCUGAUGGAGCAACGCCGCGUGCAGGAUGAAGGCCUUCGGGUUGUAAACUGCUUUUAUCUGUGACGAUUAUGACGGUAGCAGAUGAAUAAGGACCUGCUAACUACGUGCCAGCCGCCGCAGUAA
Molecule: ribosomal RNA, 457 nt
Filed under: uncultured bacterium
Lineage: Bacteria
Description: partial 16S ribosomal RNA
Rfam family: Bacterial small subunit ribosomal RNA
Source: RNAcentral